Molecule: ribosomal RNA, 565 nt
Filed under: uncultured Glomeromycotina
Lineage: Eukaryota; Fungi; Glomeromycota
Description: SSU rRNA
Rfam family: Eukaryotic small subunit ribosomal RNA
Source: RNAcentral
UUGGAGGGCAAGUCUGGUGCCAGCAGCCGCGGUAAUUCCAGCUCCAAUAGCGUAUAUUAAAGUUGUUGCAGUUAAAAAGCCCGUAGUUGAAUUUCGGGGUUAGUAGGUUGGUCAUGCCUCUGGUAUGUACUGGUCUCACUGAUUCCUCCUUCCUGAUGAGCCGUAAUGCCAUUAAUUUGGUGUUGCGGGGAAUUUGGACUGUUACUUUGAAAAAAUUAGAGUGUUUAAAGCAAGCUAACGCUUGAAUACAUUAGCAUGGAAUAAUGAAAUAGGACGUUCGAUCCUAUUUUGUUGGUUUCUAGGAUUGACGUAAUGAUUAAUAGGGAUAGUUGGGGGCAUUAGUAUUCAAUUGUCAGAGGUGAAAUUCUUGGAUUUAUUGAAGACUAACUACUGCGAAAGCAUUUGCCAAGGAUGUUUUCAUUAAUCAAGAACGAAAGUUAGGGGAUCGAAGACGAUCAGAUACCGUCGUAGCCUUAACCAUAAACUAUGCCGACUAGGGAUCGGAUGAUGUUAAUUUUUUAAUGACUCAUUCGGCGCCUUACGGGAAACCAAAGUGUUUGGGUUC